AAUGUGAUCAGCAAGGGACCUUUGAGAGCCGAGGUUCCGCUUAAAAUGGAAAGCACAGUGGAAACAUCAUGAAGGACUGGUUGUUUGAAUUGGGUCACUUACUGUGGAACUCCGGCACCAGCCACAUGCUCUCGGUAGUACUCAGCCACCAUGCAGUCAAGUGACCUCUGGUUGUGUCAUCUUCAUACUGUGUUACCCCCAGAGGUGAGAGGGACAGGAGGCCACCCCCCCAACCCCCAGGCCAGCCCUUGGAAGGCAUGUGUCAGAAAGGGGUCCCUAAAUCCUUGUUUUACCUGGACCCUUGGAGGUUCUUGAGAAGUGGACUCUGAAAUAAAUAACUGGUAGAAAUUCUACAGUGUGGAAUUUCUUGCAGUUAGCAAAAGCUUAGGGGUCCAGGUUUUUGCAGGAUUCCUGUCUUGGUCCUUUCAAACCAAGGAGGUCUGCUGGCUCUGCCAGGCCGCCUCACACGCCCAGUGGGAUUCUGACCCGGCCUCCUUGGUGCGGCAGCGUCUCCCGUUAACGGAAGAAGACGCUUAGCCCCUCUGACAGGGCCAUGGUUGUUUUUUCAAUUAAAAUGUCCUGGAGGGAGCAUCGCGCUCAUUAUCUCCUGCCCCUGCCCUCUACCCCAGCCAGAGGUCUCGAUCGCAGAACUUUUUUAAAAACAGUAGCAUGUGUAGUUAUUUUUGUAUACAUGUGGCUUAGAUUGGGUUGCAGACUUCAUUAAUUCCAUUUGAACCCAACUAAAACAGGAGACACAAUCCUUGUUCUGACAUCGAAUGCAGCUUGUGGUUUAAAAUGAGCCUGCCGGCUGCAUGGGUGCACGACAGUACAAGCAGGGCUUCAAGGAGUCUGCGCCCAGUGUUUUAAGCGACUACCACACUGACAAUUUGGGGAAAGCGUGGUCUUGAUAUAUGGGGCAGAAAGAGCUCUGUACAGUGCACACACCUGCUGCUGUCCCUGGGCAGCCCCUGGGUCCCCCCAGCCAUGACUGUUCUGCGCGAGCUCCUGAGCUGGGCGACCUCAGUGUGGGUCUCGCCUUCCAAGCCAGACAGUCGUUGGAGUCCAGCUUGCCCGGCGCCGGCCUUCACUGGUUGGCUGGAGCGGCACUUGGCAUCGCCGCCGGCCCCUCAUGGGGGUUUUCCGUUUGUGGAGUGUUUGGUACCGCGUGGUAGUUAACCCUCCAUGCCAGGCGACUGCAUUGCUGCAUUCGGGUAGGAAAGGGUGAAAGAAUUUUUUUUUGUUUUUUUUUUUUAAAGUACAAGGACCGCUCUGCUUUGUAAGCAGGAACCGCAGUCCCCUGAGGAGGGUGUGUGAAGACUCGCUCAUUUGAGUUCUUUGAAAUGGGUCCCUUGGUCCUGCUGUCACAUUGCCUUGAGCUAACGGAUCCUGUUCCCAUCAUAGGCCGGUCCUUGGGGCAUUGGGCAGGUGGGGGCUUUGUGCCUCUGCGGCUGCUGCUGUCUGUUCUCUAACAGGCAGAACUGAGGGAUUCUGAACUCAGGAUGUGCAGCUCUCCAGACUGAGACCCCAAGGCUGACUCCAGGUGGAUCCAUUGUCUCUUUAUUCUCAUUACAAUUUAUCAGAAAAGUAAGACAAAUUCAGGAUUCUCAAAUGCUGAGGCAGCCCCGGAAUUGGGGGAUCUUUCUGUUGUUAGUCCGCCCAUAUUUUCAAGCAGGCAUUAAAGGAAGGUCAGCCACUGCGCCUAGAAUAAGUAGGUCAGGCCUGCUCCAUCCAUUGUCCCCGGCCCCGCACCCUCCUCCUGAGAAGACUGUGGCUCCUGACACGUCUAGAGAGGAAGGGCCCCGGGCUGCUGAGCGAACACAGUAUGAAGAUUGCUUACUGAUCCAAAUGUCCAUUUUAUUGCAUGUUUGUUACUUUUUUUGUUAGAUGUAAUGUAAGAUUCUCUUAUCACAUCCAUUCCCUCUGACAUUAGUUUUGAGUUAAUUGAGAUUCUUUAAGCGUUAGCCUGGGGAAGGUAAGUCUUUAUCUUCCAUUAGACAUUUUAAAUUAAAAAAUCUUAAGUAAAACACCAGCCGUGUUUCUCAGGUAUGAGUUAAAAGCACAGGUGGGCGGGCUCCAAGCAGUCCAGAGGGCGAUGAGGAUGCCGAUUGCUGGGAAGAUCCUGGUCCCUUUUUGUCCCCAUGUUUUCAAGAGGAAGGAGGACGCUGCCAUUUUACUUGAGUGAAAGACCCUUCAUCACGCACGAAACCCCCGAGGGCUCUGGGCUCGGUCCUGCUGCCCCGCAGCGGGCGGGCUCUGUGUGUCUUACGGUUGCAUCUGUUGUACCUGAGAAACAUUUUUUAAACAAAAAAAUUCAACACAAAAGAAUUUUUUAAGAAAAAAAUGCUACUGGCCUAAAUAAGGUUUAUAGUUAAGUAUUUAGUCUUAAGUUGUAAGAUGCUAAGUGUAGUCGUAAGUUACCCGAGGGUGUGUCUAAAGGGAAGGGGGUGCUGGGACCCGCAGCCUCGCCCUAAACCAGAGCUCGGUUUGUUUAGGUGGAAGUUAAACGAGCUGAGCCUCGGGACAGCAAGAGCCAAGCGCCGGGACAGCCAGGUGCCAGCCAGUGGGGGAGCCGGGUUGUGCCCAACGCUGCCAAUGGCUGGGCAGGCCAGCCCCCGCCCACGUGGCAGCAAGGAUAUGGCCCGCAAGGAAUGUGGGUGCCGGCAGGACAGGCGAUUGGUGGCUAUGGACCGCCCCCUGCAGGAAGAGGAGCCCCCCCGCCACCCCCACCGUUCACCUCCUACAUCGUGUCCACCCCUCCCGGAGGCUUUCCCCCUCCCCAGGGCUUCCCUCAGGGCUACGGUGCCCCGCCACAGUUCAGUUUUGGCUACGGGCCUCCACCUCCACCGCCAGAUCAGUUUGCCCCUCCGGGGGUUCCUCCUCCACCAGCCACUCCCGGGGCAGCACCUCUGGCUUUCCCACCGCCUCCGUCUCAGGCCGCCCCGGACAUGAGCAAGCCCCCGACAGCUCAGCCAGACUUCCCCUAUGGUCAGUAUGCAGGUUACGGGCAGGACUUGAGUGGCUUUGGACAGGGCUUCUCGGACCCCAGCCAGCAGCCUCCUUCCUAUGGGGGUCCCUCCGUGCCAGGGUCGGGGGGCCCCCCCGCCGGUGGCAGCGGCUUUGGACGAGGGCAGAACCACAACGUGCAAGGGUUCCACCCCUACCGACGCUAGCCCGCGGCGCCGCGACGUCUGCACGGCCCAGACCCAGGAUUCCAAACUUGUGAACUCGUGACAAUCACAAACGUGGCGGCAAAGUAGCGACUCAACCUUGGGGGGGGCGGGGGGAGGGCGCGAGGCUUUUGGAGCGGCUGUGGGUGUCGUCUGGACUGAGGUUUUUAAAUAUUUCUUUCUCUAACCCAUCAGCACAAUAAAAAAAAAGUCACUGGUUCAACAACAGGGUUUAAAAAAAAUGUCUUCAGCUUUAAUUCAAAACUUCAGGUUUCUUUUUCUUCCUUUUUUUGGAAAUUAUUUUCCUGAGCCUUUUGUUUUACAGUAUAUUGUAAACUUUUAUGUUAAAGAAAAAAUAUACAUUUACAAAUUGUGAGAUUUUUAAGAGAAAUUUUCUACGAUGUAUACUGGCUUAUUUUUUAAUUUAAAACAGGGUUUCCGUCGGCACUGGUGGAGGGGUGCGCUGUUAGUCCCCUCGCUCCUGGCUUUGGGGGUUGGGACUUGGUGGUCCAGAAACUCUGGGAGCUUCAAGAAGAAAUCUACUGAGUGUAUUUCUGUUUUUUGUUUAAUUCCUUGCUUUUGUCGACCUGCUUGGUAGCGUCUGAGGUGAACUGUGGGGGUUGCGCACAGCCAGCCGCGUGGAUCCCACGUGGCGCUGAACCAAACGAGUAGGAAGCCUUUCUCCCCAGGCACGUGGCUUCAGGGCGUUUCCCAUUGACCAGUUUGACCCUGGUUUGAAUAAAGAGAAGUGCGUUUGCAUUAGAAA
RNAcentral lists this small RNA (3933 nucleotides) under Pan troglodytes (chimpanzee). RNAcentral describes it as "retained intron". Lineage: Eukaryota; Metazoa; Chordata; Mammalia; Primates; Hominidae. The record is from RNAcentral.